Long non-coding RNA from Lathyrus oleraceus (garden pea), 2585 nucleotides. RefSeq lists it as uncharacterized. NCBI's taxonomy places the organism in Eukaryota, Viridiplantae, Streptophyta, Magnoliopsida, Fabales, Fabaceae. The transcript has 7 exons. The record is from RefSeq and is a predicted model, not a curated record.
GUGAAAAGUUAUUAAUAAUUAAUCUUUUCUCUUCACGUGUGCUAAACUCUCCCUAUCCUUUUUCUCCUUCCCUGUUCUAAAAACCCACUUCAACAUUGAAGCAAACCGUGCAACCAUGGCGGUACCGUCACGAGACUCGGAAACCACCAUCAAAUUCCUAAUCGAACAAACACUCUUAAACCCAGAUUUAAACCAGUAACUUUUUGCAAAACAGUGAUAUCCAAAGAGCCAAAUUUCGGAAAAACAAACAUGGCAACAACAGUCUUAUGCAAUAAUCAUGGGGUUUGCAAUUUAUGAGGCAAUGUGAACAAGAUGGUAAUAUCGAAUCAUGCAAAGGGGAAAUGUUAAAUACCAAAUCGGAGCUAGUCCGACGUUUCAACUCCGUCAAGGUGAGGGGCUUAGCUCGAGCUUGUUGAGCUUCGGUGUGAAAGUCUCAACAAGUUAAAAACGGAGCUUUUUAAUGAGGGUUUUAGAAUGAUUUCUCCAGCGUAACGGCGCAGAAAUUCGGAUCCUUUUUCCAUCAUUCGAGGUCCUUAUUUAUAGCGUUUUUGUACGAGGUUCAAUCUUUCUCCUCUUUCAUGAGCUGGCGAAUUUUGGAAGAAUCAUUCCGUUAGGUAGCAGGAUUUUUCUCAGAUUUGGUGGUCCUCCAAUUUGAUGUGGUCCCUCAAAUGACAGGAUAAGGUUUUAUCUGUAGUGAAUCCACGUUUUGCUCCUUUUGGUACAGGGUGGUUGAUAGAAUUUAUGGACAACUCUGUCAUGAUUUUAAAUGGAGGUGAGAAGUAGGCUGAGCCAAUAUUGGAGCGGAGUAUAUCUGCAAAUUCUGAAUUGCACUUGUAACGUGAUGCUAUGCUUGGUCUUGCGAGGUAUUUCUUUUGGUCAUGUUUGUGACAGGAUGCUAUUGCACUGCAGAACAUGGAUGAUGAUUGCGAGGUUAUGUACUCCACAGAACUAAAGGUCUCACGGCAUGGUAAAGGUGGCUUGUAGACUGACAACAUUAUGUGACAUGGUUUGUUAUCUCUGUGCACGACUCCCAUAUCAUGACAAUACUUGAUGACUAACAUCACUUCCCUGAGUAUGUUAACAUCCUGCUGUUUCUGAAUAAGACUGGUUUUUUAUACUGAUAUGACAAAGAUGCUUUCAGUAUGCAACUCACGGUUUUAUUGGAGGAAGAUUCUCCAACAGGUCUAACAGGUUUUGCCGUCAUUCCAAAUUUGGUUCAGCGGCGUUGAUGCUUGGAGAACCGUGUGAAAAUUUGGUUGAGACUUUGGCUUGAUUAGUAUUUGGUCAAACAUCCCUGUUUUCUCGAAUUGCAUUGUCUUAUGUAGCUUGAUCUAGUUGGUGUUUUGCUGAUACCCCAACACGGCUUGUGCCUUGCGCUGUUAAAAAUGAUUGGCAGCAGUUGUACAUGCCCUGUAUGUUUCAGACUUUUGGAUUUGGUCUGCAGCAAAUUAAAGUUUGAUGAAUGUUGCCUUUGUUGCCGGUUUUAUAUUCAUAGCUGAUAGUGCCAAUUUUUAGAGUGGUAAAAAACAUAUAUGUGUUUGUAUUACCCUGUGCACAUGUCUUACAUUUGUACUGGCAGCUUGUAACAGGUCUUGUGGCGUCCAUUUGGCCUUUGGUUAACAUGAAUUGAUUCCUUUGCGUUUGCAUUUAUGUGUUGUGAUCCUCAUGACUUCGUGGCUAUAUCGCAGGUAUCGCUCAUUAGACAUUUCAUGUUGGUGGUGCAUUCAAUGGCACGGUCCUUAAUAUUCAUGAUAAGUUCAUCUGCACGACGAUCGGUUGUUAACUGGAGGGCCAUUAUCCCAACAACAUAUGCAGCUAGCUCAGUCGAGCAAAGGUGGUUCCUUCUUGAUACUCUAGGUCAAGGUAAUACAGAUUAUCGCCACACGCAAACCCUCUGUACUCAGCGAUGCUGUCAGGUACAACGCCUGAAAUGACUUGUUCUGGCUUUGGAUUACACAGGAAUGAUACACCGCACGCUGCUUCAACCCAAACGAAGUCGAAAGUAAUUAGAAAGAUGGAAGUUGGAGAGGUCGAAGUCAUGCCUACGUACAGUUGCAUUUUCGCCCUUGCUGUAGACAGAACACUUGGGUCGAUGACAGACAUCCUUUCCAUGGAUUCAAACAACAAGGGUUGUCUUGGUUUUUAACACUUAAUCCUCACGCCCAACUUUAAAGAUCCUAAAAGCGUUUGAAAUGAAGCCAAACCAACAACAAGUACAAGACCCUCCAUUUUAGAUGAUAUGCUCACGUUAAAUUCUAAGACGCUUAUUAUUAGAACUAACUGUAGGAAACUUUGUGAAUUUGGGAUGUAUGGUUGGAAUUUGUAUUGAGUACUAUUCAUGAAAUGGAAUUGAGGCAUGCUGGUAUGAUGGCAAUUCAUUGCAUGGUACUAUGGACCUCAUAUUGCUUUGAUGAAUCAGACGUCCUUAACUCUUUGGGAAUUAUCUGACUGGCUCUGAUAUUGUUUGCAAACUUUAUGUGAGCAUCCAAGCAUGUUAUAAGUGGCUGAUCUUAAAUUUGAAGAAACAUGUACAAAAUUUGUAUAAAAAGCAAAAAAUAAAUAAAAUGGAAUGGUCUUUAUGAUAA